CGCCGAAGCCGCGGCAGCACACAUCUGUGUGCUGGGUAGGGGAGCGUCCUGCAUCCGGUGAAGCAGCAGCGUGAGCUAGUUGUGGAGGGUGUGGGAGUGAGAAUGCAGGCAUGAGUAGCGAUGAGGCAAGUGAGAACCUUGCCCGCCGAAAGACCAAGGGUUCCUGGGCCAGGCCAGUCCGCCCAGGGUGAGUCGGGACCUAAGGCGAGGCCGACAGGCGUAGUCGAUGGACAACGGGUUGAUAUUCCCGUACCCGUGUGUGAGCGUCCCUGAUGAAUCCGUUCUGCUAACCGCCCAAAAGGUGGACCACCAAUCCCUUCGGGGUGCGGGGUUCGCCGGCUGCGCGGGACCCGGACGGGUAGUAGUCAAGCGAUGGGGUGACGCAGGAAGGUAGCCGUACCAGUCAGUGGUAAUACUGGGGCAAACCGGUAGGGAGAGACAUAGGCAAAUCCGUGUCUCACAUAUCCUGAGAGGUGAUGCAUAGCCGAGUGAGGCGAAUUCGGUGAUCCUAUGCUGUCGAGAAAAGCCUCUAGCGAGCGCACACACGGCCCGUACCCCAAACCAACACAGGUGGUCAGGUAGAGAAUACCAAGGCGUACGAGUGAACUAUGGUUAAGGAACUCGGCAAAAUGCCCCCGUAACUUCGGGAGAAGGGGGACCCACAUGGUGUGUAAGCCCUUGCGGCCCAAGCACAAGUGGGUGGCACAAACCAGUGAGAAGCGACUGUUUACUAAAAACACAGGUCCGUGCGAAGUCGCAAGACGAGGUAUACGGACUGACGCCUGCCCGGUGCUGGAAGGUUAAGAGGACCCGUUAACCCUUUCGGGGGUGAAGCGGAGAAUUUAAGCCCCAGUAAACGGCGGUGGUAACUAUAACCAUCCUAAGGUAGCGAAAUUCCUUGUCGGGUAAGUUCCGACCUGCACGAAUGGCGUAACGACUUCUCAGCUGUCUCAACCAUAGACUCGGCGAAAUUGCAUUACGAGUAAAGAUGCUCGUUACGCGCGGCAGGACGAAAAGACCCCGGGACCUUCACUACAACUUGGUAUUGGUGCUCGAUACGGUUUGUGUAGGAUAGGUGGGAGACUGUGAAGCAGCCACGCCAGUGGUUGUGGAGUCGUUGUUGAAAUACCACUCUGGUCGUAUUGGGCCUCUAACCUCGGACCGUGAAACCGGUUCAGGGACAGUGCCUGGUGGGUAGUUUAACUGGGGCGGUUGCCUCCUAAAAUGUAACGGAGGCGCCCAAAGGUUCCCUCAACCUGGACGGCAAUCAGGUGUUGAGUGUAAGUGCACAAGGGAGCUUGACUGCGAGACGGACAUGUCAAGCAGGGACGAAAGUCGGGACUAGUGAUCCGGCACCCCCGAGUGGAAGGGGUGUCGCUCAACGGAUAAAAGGUACCCCGGGGAUAACAGGCUGAUCUUCCCCAAGAGUCCAUAUCGACGGGAUGGUUUGGCACCUCGAUGUCGGCUCGUCGCAUCCUGGGGCUGGAGCAGGUCCCAAGGGUUGGGCUGUUCGCCCAUUAAAGCGGCACGCGAGCUGGGUUUAGAACGUCGUGAGACAGUUCGGUCUCUAUCCGCCGCGCGCGUCAGAAGCUUGAGGAAACCUGUCCCUAGUACGAGAGGACCGGGACGGACGAACCUCUGGUACACCAGUUGUCCCACCAGGGGCACCGCUGGAUAGCCACGUUCGGACAGGAUAACCGCUGAAAGCAUCUAAGCGGGAAACCCCCUCCAAGACCAGGCUUCUCACCCUUUUAGAGGGAUAAGGCCCCCCGCAGACCACGGGAUCGAUAGACCAGACCUACACACCUAGCAAUAGGCGCAGGGAACUGGCACUAACCGGCCGAAAACUUACAACA
This 1856-nucleotide ribosomal RNA is filed under the name marine metagenome. RNAcentral's name for it is "bacterial LSU rRNA". It matches the Rfam family "Bacterial large subunit ribosomal RNA", at positions 1192 to 2925 of the family's 2925-position model. The record is from RNAcentral.